GCCAUUCUAAGGGCAUGAUAUAUAUUUUAAAAUGCCCCAGAAACCUUUUAUAUAUAUAUAUAUAUAUAUAUAAAUAAAUAAAAAAGGUUUCUGGGGCAUUUUAAAAUAUAUAUUAUGCCCUUAGAAUGGC
Pelobates cultripes (western spadefoot toad) is the source of this 130-nucleotide non-coding RNA. NCBI's taxonomy places the organism in Eukaryota, Metazoa, Chordata, Amphibia, Anura, Pelobatidae. The record is from the annotation of a GenBank genome assembly.